Rosa rugosa (rugosa rose) is the source of this 1348-nucleotide long non-coding RNA. RefSeq lists it as uncharacterized. The record is from RefSeq and is a predicted model, not a curated record. Lineage: Eukaryota; Viridiplantae; Streptophyta; Magnoliopsida; Rosales; Rosaceae. The transcript is spliced from 4 exons.
ACUUCUGCCUCUUCCCAUCCCCUUGCAUCCUCAAUUCCUCAUCAUAGCCGCCCAGGCCCGCUUCUCUCUCGUCACCACCAAGCUCACCUCCGCUCCCAACCUCACGCCGUCCAUGACCGCCAUCAUGCUCCUCGCCAUCGGAAAUGGCGUCCCGGGCGUCUUCACCUCCGUCACCACCGUCUGCCGCGGCAACUACCGGACAUGGUUCGGCGCGAUCCUCUCUGCUGGGACGUCCGUCGGGGUCUACGGGGCCGGUCUCGCUCAACUUGGUGAGGAACGUCAUGUUCUAUUUGAUUUCAGUUCUUGUUCUAUAGGACCUGGUAAUUUUUCUAGCCACCACCUUCCGUGCAUCACAUCUCGAAGAAAAACAAAGGGUUUUUAUCGAAGCAAUCUGAGGCCGCCCCAGAUAGACUUUUGAAAUUGCAUAGAUCAGGUAAUGGAUGGUAAUUUAAGGUUGGGUCAUGAGGCAUGUGGUGGGCUCAAAGAGAUCUUGUUGAGCAAUGAUCUGUGUUGGAAAUAGAGGUUAGGGUUCUGAACGUUUUUGUGCUUUCUUAUGAUAAUUGGUUUUGUUCCAAGGUUGGUUGUUGAUGAUUAUGACAAUGCAUGAGUUUCUAUGUUUCAAGAUGUAUCUGCGGGGAGCUGUGUUUGGUUAUAUUCUCCUCCCUUAUAAUUUAUUUGAACUGUAAUUAUGAAGGUCUCUUUGGGGCAGGUAACAAUAUUUCUACUUUUCAGUUAGAGUGAAUACGAAAUUGUUUAUUCUGGAACUUGUGACUUUAGUGAUACAAUUGGUCCGGGAGCAUGGAAUAAAAUGAAGCUUUUUGAUGCACAAUAGUCCACUUCUAGUGCUUUGGCUGGCACUGGAACUGAGGUGAUUGUUUCUUGGCCAAUUCAUCAUGUAAUUUGGCAUGAUGCAGAAGCUUUCUGGGCUGCAAUGGAGUUUGGUGACUCCUAGGUUGGUAGAUGCAGUGAAGCUAUCAUUCAAAUUACUUCUCGAUCAGGAGAACUUGGUAUCAUAGUGGAGUGCCACAGGCCUGUACAAAACCUCUAAAUAAGAACUUUUAGCGCGGCAAAUGUGUCUCCACUCUAUAGUGAUGAGUUCAAAGUGCAAGAGCGAGUAGACAAUAUUUAAAGAUUUGGGGAACUGAUCAGGAGCAUGCCAAAAAGAUGAGGAGUUCAUUGCAACACUUUCCAGCAAACCAACAACCAAUAAUUUGGUUACUAGUAUGUUGGAUUUAGUACACAAGUAUCUCUAGACUGUUUUGAAUUAUUAUUGAUCUAACUAUUUUGAAUUGGUAUUGACUGUAACUUGUAAAGAAUACUUUCGGUUGAUAUAUUCUUAUUUUGUCUA